Molecule: ribosomal RNA, 469 nt
Filed under: uncultured bacterium
Lineage: Bacteria
Description: partial 16S ribosomal RNA
Rfam family: Bacterial small subunit ribosomal RNA
Source: RNAcentral
GACGAACGCUGGCGGCGUGCUUAACACAUGCAAGUCGAACGGAAAGGCCCUGCUUGCCGGGUGCUCGAGUGGCGAACGGGUGAGUAACACGUGGGUGAUCUGCCCCUUACUUUGGGAUAAGCCUGGGAAACUGGGUCUAAUACUGGAUAGGACCAUGCUGUAGGUGGUGUGGUGGAAAGAUUAGUUUCGGUAAGGGACGAGCUCGCGGCCUAUCAGCUUGUUGGUGGGGUAAUGGCCUACCAAGGCGUCGACGGGUAGCCGGCCUGAGAGGGUGGACGGCCACAUUGGGACUGAGAUACGGCCCAGACUCCUACGGGAGGCAGCAGUGGGGAAUAUUGCACAAUGGGCGCAAGCCUGAUGCAGCGACGCCGCGUGGGGGAUGACGGCCUUCGGGUUGUAAACUCCUUUCAGCCAUGACGAAGCCCUUGUGGUGACGGUAGUGGUAGAAGAAGCACCGGCUAACUACGUG